Molecule: transfer RNA, 84 nt
Filed under: Clostridiales bacterium KA00134
Lineage: Bacteria; Bacillati; Bacillota; Clostridia; Eubacteriales
Rfam family: tRNA
About the family: Transfer RNA (tRNA) molecules are approximately 80 nucleotides in length. Their secondary structure includes four short double-helical elements and three loops (D, anti-codon, and T loops).
Source: Rfam by way of RNAcentral
GCCGAAGUGAUGGAAUUGGCAGACGUGCGAGACUCAAAAUCUCGUGGUGGCAACACCGUGUGGGUUCGAGUCCCACCUUCGGCA